Non-coding RNA from Podarcis lilfordi (Lilford's wall lizard), 72 nucleotides. The record is from the annotation of a GenBank genome assembly. Lineage: Eukaryota; Metazoa; Chordata; Lepidosauria; Squamata; Lacertidae.
AGGGAUGUAGUUCAGUGGUAGAGAAUCUGCCUUGCAUGCAAAAGCCCCCAGUUUCAAUCUGUGGCAUCUCUA